This 6745-nucleotide long non-coding RNA is filed under the name Mus musculus (house mouse). RNAcentral describes it as "long non-coding RNA chr18:3336737-3343482". The record is from RNAcentral. Lineage: Eukaryota; Metazoa; Chordata; Mammalia; Rodentia; Muridae.
ACACCGGCACCAGGGCUCCAGGAGGGUGCUGACUAGCAGACAGCAGCUUUCCCGGUAAGGUCCUGGGACCGUAGGCGCCUGCCACUUAACGCUGGCGGUUAGUUACGCCUGUAACAGGCGACAAGACUGUUUUGGACACGUCUCCCCUACUCCGGGUCUGGAAAUCCAGUAGUCGACCCUCGGACCCCCCAACUGCGACUCGCCCGGCCGCUCGCCACCGCACCUCCAGCUCUAUAUUGUGUGGGGACAAAAAUGACUCGAUGGUGCAGUCCCUGCGCCACCCUUCUGGAAGAAAUGGGGCACGUUAUUUUCUAUCUACACUGCGAACGCAACGCUGGGACGAAAGCGCUACUGCGGGCCCAGGACUGUGGCGAGCAGGACCGACGCCCUUUUCCUGUCACACUGAGAAGCCCGAGCGGCCGCCCGGAGGGCUCUCUGACGGUAGGCUUUCUCGUCGGUACCAAGACGAAGCACGGAAGAGGGCGAGCGCAGGCGGCCCGCUGCGUGCCCGGGGAGCUCUCGGUGGCGAGCCGCGAGCGGGCGGGCGGGCGGGCGGCGGUGAGGGCAGGCCGGGCGGAAAGGCGCGUCCCGAGCAGCCGCCGCCCGCCGCGGGCUGUGAUGCGAGGCAGGCGCGCCACUUACCCGCCGCGAAGGGUUUACGUAGCGGACCUCGUCACUGAUUACGGACGGGAGGAGGUGGGGACGCAGAGCCCGACGGCCGCCGCCCAGGCAACCCGGCGGAUGCGGCCGCACGUCGCGCCCACGUCAGCUCUGAUGCGGUUGUCGCGGCCUCUCUGCCGACGCGAACAGAAAGCCGCGCAAGCAGCGGACCGAACUGCGGCCUCGAGCCCUACCCUCCCCUCCCCCACGCCGAUCGCCUCUCUAAGGGGACUGGGUCGGAGGAGAAAAAAAGUUGCAGGCUCGAACUCUGCCCCCUGCUGGCAGUCAGCGGGAUUGCAGAGGUGACAAUCCAACAAUUAAAUAGAACGGGGGUCGGGGCGGAGCCUUGGGGACGGGGCGUAUUGGAGGAGGACGCCUUGUUGAGGCAGAUGACUAGGAAGAGCUAAGGGGUGGGACAGGAAAACGGAAGCUACAACUUCCGCGCGUGCGCUCGAAGUGUCCGUAUUCUCCAACUACAACGAUGCUGUGCAACGCAUCGUCAUUUUUUUUUUUCCUAUAUACUUUGUAGGAUGACUCUUGACUCUGACCUCAAUCCCAAAGUGUGGGGGUUCGGUCUCCGCCGGAGGCGCGUGCUAGGCGCUAAAGCCUGCCGAGUUCCCCGGCUUCAAGGAUGGUUCUGGAAACCGCCGUUAGGUCUGGAGUGUACUUUGUCGCGGUCCCUCUUCCUAGCCUGCCUUCUCGGUAGAACUUGUUUGCCCCAACGUACAAAUAGCUACAAGCCGUAGGCAGAAGUGUGGCAGAGGAUAGUAAAACAGUUUGGUAAAAGCUAGGACCUUUUUUUUUUUUUUUUUUUUGAGCCUAUUAAUAAUGGAAAAUUUCGGUUUCGAUCGUGAGAUUUUGCAUAAGCUCUGUAAAGCAGUCACCUACGUGAUUAGCACCUUUCUAAUACCUCCUCUUACUCUAAGCCCUCCUGAAGAGAGUCUGGUCCUCUUAAACACAGGGACUUUCGUUCUUAAAACUAAGUCACUAUGCAAUCCGAAACAAAAAUGGACCAACACUCAAGACUGGCCAUCUGGAAAUCUCUAGUGAAAAGUUGCUGUAAGGAAAUGCCAAGAACAAGAUAGUACAAUUUCAGAAUGGAUAUAUUGUGGGUAACAGAGUACCUGUAGACCAGGGGAUGUGGCUCAGGAUUACUGUAUUUGUCUGAAAGGUGAGUAAGGGCUGGGGUGGGAGGAGGCACUGUAACAGAAUGCUGCUGUUUACCAAAUUUUGACCAACACAGUUACAAUUACAAAAAAGGCAGAGUAACACCUGGGCAAGGUGGUAAAUGCCUUUAAUCCCAGAGCUCAGAAAGCAGAAGCAGGUGGAUCUCUGUGAGUUCAAGGCCAGCCUGGUCUACCAAGUGAGUCCAGAACAGCCAGGGCUACACACAGAAACUGUCUCAAACAAAAUCAGAAUAAAACCUAAUCACUUACAGGAGGUUUUGUUUCAUCCCUUUAAUCCCAGCAGUCUGUAAUCAAGAUAGACCUUGAUCCCCUAAUCUUCCUGCUCCAACUUCCAAAGUACUGGAACUUUUUAUAGUCCCAGCACACUCACACCUCUUUUAAGAUCUGCAGAUCAGUUUUUAAAGCUGUGGGAUAAUCCCUCUGUAGUACUGUAGCUAACUACAUGCUGAACCAUAGAAAUGCCUUACAUUUUCCAGCUCAUGUAGAUAGCCUUUUUUCUCUCCAUUUCCACGAUAAUUGCUUGGUUCUCUACUGAAAUUUUAUCAUCCUUUAAGACAGCUAAAUAUCACUUCUUUUUACUUUUGUUGUUUGAGGAGUGAGAGGUUCCUGGGGAUUAAAUCUAUGACUGUAGCCUCAGGCAUGCUUUGAAAAUUCACUAGUACUAAGCUAUGACCCCAGCACUAUCACCCCUUUUCCUUUCUUCUUUAAUCUUCAGAAGGAUCUCACUAAUUCACAUUUAUCUUAAAAUAAUUUGGGGGCUUGGGCUGACCUUGUGUUUUCAAGGUUUGUUUUAGGUUCCUAAGUAGCUGGAACAAUAUGCCUAGGCCAUAGGCUCAAGCCCCACUCCACCUCUGUUGAAAAGAGGUUACUGCUUAACUGUCUUGUAGUCCAGAGUCUAAAGCCUGAGAAGACCCAAAGCCACCCAUCACCAUCACCACCUAGUCAAUCGCCAUACAUUCUCUCUUCCAAUGCUGUUAUCCUCUGCCUCUAAGUGCUGUGGCAUGGUCCUACUGACCUGGUUUCAUUUAAGGCCCUUCUGAACUUGGAAUGAAUCAGACCAUCAGAGAUGCGAGAUCUGUGUGCAUUUGAGAUUCUGGAACCUACAGGAAGUAUGAGACCACAACAGAGCAAGACCAAAUUUAUAGGUCUGUGCUUUGACUAAUUUAAUGUUGAGGGAGGUCCCUCUCCCCAUAAAAUUUGGAUGACAUCCAAAGAGGGAUAUGUGCAGGUCUUUUUUGUUGAUGCUUUUGUAAAAAAAAAACUGGAGUUCAGGGAAUAAAAUAGUCAAAGAAAAAUACUGGAAAAGCAUGUUUCCUGAGAGCUUGAGUAGACUGCAUACAAAACCACCAAGAUAUACCUGCAUAAAAACCAAAAUAAAGUUGGCAUUCACAGAAGGCUGAACACUAGCUAGUAAGUGCACUCAGCAUUAAUCUGGCAGCACUAGGCACUAAAUAGCAUGGUAAACUAUGGGGUCAACCAGCAGCACUGUGCAAAUGUACAGCCACAGGGAGAAGAGUUAGAAGGAACUUUGAAAUUCUGGUUUUUAACUUUGUUCAACAUCUUAACAAUGCUUUGUUUGUUUGUUUGCUUGCUUGCUUGCUUGCUUGCUUGCUUGCUUUUAUAACAAGGUCUUACUAUCCAGCCCAGGCUGGCCUCAAACUUUUGAUCCUCCUGUAUCAACCAUCUGACUGCUAUGAUUAUAAGUAUAUACGCCAUUCUUAGCAAAUUUAAAACUAUUUUCUUUUUUUGUUAUUGGUGAUGUUUUUGUUUGGUUGGUUGGUUAGGUUUUGUUUGUUUGUUGAGACAGGGUUUCUCUGUGUAGGUCUGACUGUCUUGGAGCUCACUCUGUAGACCAGGCUGGCCUGGAACCCAGAAACCCACUGCUCAACCUAUUUUAAGAUGAAAUUAGUGGACUGAUAAAAAGAGGCCCGCUAUAGAUGAAAUUGAGCUCUACUUUCUCCAAGAAGGAGGAAAUAGAUGAAAAUAUACUUUAUAUGUCCCUGUUAGAAAUGAAGAUCGUGUAACUGAGUGUAGUGGCACACCCUUUAACCCUAGAAACUUGGGAGUCAGAGGCAGACAGAUCUCUUAGUUCCAAGCCAGCCUAUGUGAGUUCCAGGACAGCCAGAGCUACAUAGAGAGACCCUGUCUCAAAAGCCACAAAGAACAUCAGGUAAUAAACAUUAAUGUUAUUUUGUACAGACACUGUGUGUUGACAGUAAAGGUGGGAGCUAGAGAACCUCCACCAUUUUUAGGGAAAAGAAAUCAGAGACAGCAAGAUGGCUUACCAGGUAAAGGUGCCUGCCACCUAGCCUAGAAGGAGAAAACCACCUCCUGAGAAGAAAGGUGUGGACACUAUUAGAAAACAAACCAGUCAGGAGUAGGAGGAACAAGGAAGGGGAAGUUGGGGAGGACAAGAGCUAGUAAAGGAAUCUUUUUUAAAACUAAUUUUUAGGACUGGUGAUGUGGCGCAGUGGUAAAGGCACAUGCUGCCAGACCUGCUAAUGUAAGUUUGAUCCCUGGGAUCCAUAUGGUAGAAGGAAAGAACCAACUUCCAUAAAUUGUCCCCUGAUCUCCCACACAUGCACCUUGGCUAAUGAGCACACACACACACACAAACACACACACACACGCACACAUGUUCAUCUAGAUCUCACAUCUCACAUAGGAAAGAAAACAUGGAAUCAUUUCUCUUUCUUCCUCUCCAUCACUCUCUCUUGUUCCCUCUCUUCUCUGCAUUAAACUCACCAUCACCCUCACAUAGCCCAGCUUUGACUUUCCUGUCUGUAAUGCCUGCUUUUGGUUGUCAAUUUGACUACAUCAGGAACUAACUAAAAUACAAAUGAUUGAGAACACCUGUGAGGUAUAGUUUUCUUCUUUUUCAAAAAUAUAUUUAUUUUUAUUUAUUUAUUCUUCUCUCAUAUAUUACAUCCUGACCAAAGUUUUCCCUCUCUCCUAUACUCCCAGGCCUUUCCCCAAAUUCCCUUCUCUCAGAUCCACUCCUGUUUUCCUUCAGAAAAGAGCAGGCCUCCCAGGGGUAUCAACCAAACAUGACAUAACAAUUUGCAGUAUGUCUAGGCAUAUAUCCUCAUAUCAAUGCGGAACUAGGCAACCAGGUAGGAGAAAAAGGAUCCCAAAAGCAGGCAAAAGAAUCAGUGAUACCACCACUCCCUCGGUUGGAAGUCCCACAAGAACACUAAGCUACAUAAGCAUAACAUAUAUGCAAAGGACCUAGGUUAGACCUAUACAGGCUUGCUGAUUAUCAUUCAGUCUCUGUGAGCCCCCAUGAUCCCCUGUUAGUUGAUUCUGAGGACCCAUUUUCUUGUGAUAUCCUUGAACCCUCUGGCAACUACAAUCCUUUUUCUCCCCCUUCCAAGGGAUUCCAUUAGCUCUAACCAAAUAAAUGGCUGUGUGUCUCUGCAUCUGCAUAUCAGUUGCUGGAUGAAGCCUCUGUAGUAAUGAUUAUCCUAGAUCCUAGUCUAGACUAUAGGAGACUAUUAUUAUGAAUCAUUUCAUUGAUUUUUUUUUAUUUUUAUUUCUUGCCAGUCAUAUUUGAUGUUUUCCUAGGUCUCUGGGCUAUCUGGCCUCUGGUUGCUAGAAGUGUCCCGAAAGAGCUCCCUAACAUGGAAUGGGUCUGACUGGACCAGUCAGUGGUUGGCUACUCCCACACGUUCUAGUCUACCUUCACUCCAGCAAAUUUUGCAGUCAAGACAAAUUGUAGGUCAAAGGUUAUGACUGGGUUGGUGUCUCUGUUCCUCCACUGGAAGUCUUGCCUGGUUACAGAAGUUACAAGUCUUUGCUACGGUCACCCUUGUAGAUUCCAGGGAGUUUCCAUUGCACUACAUUUCUACUUACCCCAGAAAUGACCACCAAUUCCAGCCUUUCCCAGUACUCUCUCCCACCUUCGAAAUCUAUUUUGUUUCCCCUUCCCAAAGAGAUCCAAACAUCCCACCUUGACCACUCCUUGUUAGAUAGCCUCUCUGGGUCUGUGGAUUUGUAAUAUGAUUAUCCUUUAUAGCUAAUGUCCACUUAUAAGUGAACAUAUACCAUGUUUUUCUUUCUGUGUCUGGGUUACCUCACUCAGGAUGAUUUUUUUUCUAGUUCAAUCCAUUUGUCUGAAAACGUUAUGAUGUCAUUUUUCUUUUUUAACAGCUGAGUAAUACUGCAUUGUGUACCACAUUUGCCACACUUACUUUAUCCAUUCUUGAGUUGAGGAACAGUUUUUAGUUUCUGGCUUGUUAGCAUGUAGAAGGAUGCAAACAGAUCUAUAUCUAUUACACUGCACAAAACGCAAGCCCUAUUGGAUCUAAGACCUGAACAUAAAAUCAGAUUCACUAAACCUUAUAGAGUAGAAAGUGGGGAAUAGCCUUGCACACACUGCCAUAAGGGAGAACUUCCUGAACAGAACACUCAUAGCUCAGGCACUAAGAUCAACAAUUAAUAAAUGGGACCUCAGGAAACUGAGGCAAAGGACACUGUCAAUAUGACUAAGUGGCAGCCUACAAAAUGGAAAAAGUUUUUGUUUUGUUUUGUUUUUUACCAACUUCACAUCUGUCAGAGGGCUACUCAAGAAACUAGACAUAAACAAUAAUCCAAUUUUAAAAAUGGGAUAUAGCCAGGAGUAGUGGUACAUGCCUUUAAGUCCAGCACUUAGGAGGCACAGACAGCUGGAACUCUGAAUUUUUGGCCAACCUGGUCUACAGACUGAGUUCUAGGACAGUCAGGGCUACACAGAGAAACCCUGUCUCAAAGAAGCAACCAACCAAAAAAAUGGAGUACAGAUUUAAACAGAAUAAGAGAGGAAUCUCAAAUGGUGGCUGGGAAGCACUUAAAGAAAAGUUCAACAUUCUUAGCCAUCAGGGAAAUGCAAAUCAGAACAACUUUGAGAUUCUAUAGCCAAG